Molecule: long non-coding RNA, 1660 nt
Filed under: Gouania willdenowi (blunt-snouted clingfish)
Lineage: Eukaryota; Metazoa; Chordata; Actinopteri; Blenniiformes; Gobiesocidae
Description: lncRNA (ENSGWIG00000017725.1)
Source: RNAcentral
UUAAGUGUCAACCUUGUGUGCAGGGCACUAGACUCAUGUGGGCAACUUGCCGAUCAAAUCAAGUUAAGAUAACCAGAUCAAGACUGGGGCAUUGUGGACUAGCUGCAUAUUUAAAUCGAAUAGGCAAACAUCCGGAUGGAUUAUGUCAGUGUGGUCAACUUGAGACUAUUUCCCAUGUUCUAUUGGCCUGUGGAUGUUAUUCUGUUGAAAGGGGAAUGUUAUUUAAAGAACUUUCAACUCUUGGGCUGACAGUGUUUUCAAUAAAGUCAAUAUUUGCAUCAAGAACAGAGUCGAUUUUAAUAGAUAAGGCAGUCGUGAGGUAUCUUCAAUCUUCCAACCUCUAUUUCCACCUUUUCCACAAAUAAUACAAUUAAAAAACUCAUUGUUUGAUUUUAAAAAAAGAAGAAUAUAUGUAGCCUAUGUGGGUAGAUAAAACUGUGUGAAGUAAACGCUGUGUAUCUGCAAAUUUUUACAGUGUAUCUCACUAUGGGGAAAAAAGUAAACAAUAGUAUUAAAAAUGAAAAUACAAAAUAUAAAAUUAAAAUGUACUAUUUUAGCAGGGUAGGACAACCUCCUCUAAAAUAUUUUAGUUUACUCACAGAUACAUCCCUAUGUGAGGAUAUCUAUGGUGGUUAGAGUUGAUCAAAAUUGCAAUGACUGACUACUGUGCUUCCUAAAUGCUACUAUUAGUAUAUCUGUACUCUUAUCUGCAAUUUCCUUUUUAUUUGUGUUUAGAGAAAAUAUACAGUACAUGCUGAACAGCUUCAGAUCUAUGUUUGGUGUAUCAGAGGUCUUCAAAAGAUAUAAAUAACUGACCCGUAUUUCAUUGAAUCUUCUUUUUUAGAGAAGUAUGUCUUUAUUGUGGCAUAUGAAGGAUGGACUGGUACCAUUCGAUUCAACACAAACUCUUCAAACAACUUAACUAAUUACACAAUAGAAGUUACAAAAGAUAAUAAAAGAGUCUUUGCCCGUCGAGAUGGACCGGAAUUGCUGCAAAUGGAUGAGUAUAAAGGAAGAGUAUCUAUUGACGAUGCAGAGCUGGAGCGAGGUGUGGUGAUAGUUUACUUUAACAAUAUCUCGCAUGCUGACCAUGGGAAGUACAGGCUCUACAUCCAUAAGCUGAAUAUUCGUUUAUUCUCCAUCAUGGAAGUUCAACCAAAUUCAACCGGAGAAGAUUCGACCACAAUGACAUCAGAGAACGAGAAAGUUGCAGAAGGAACAAAAUGGGAGUAUCUCUCUGUUCUUGUACUUGUUCUUCCCAUUGCUCUGUUAGUCCUGGCCUGGUUGAAGAGGAAAAAUAUCCAAAAGUUUUGGAGGAACGUGAGGUGUAGAAGAACAGCAGGUGAAGAGCCAGAACAUGUAGCAUUCAACACAGGCCAGGAAGAAGUUCAUGUGUCCCUCAAUGGGAGAGAGCUUACUGCAGGAGUGUGUAGGACCUCCCCCACCACCACCAGACUCACCGGAUCACCAGGAGAGGAGCCCCUCAGCGUAACCACAGUCGAUGAUUAACCCCAGCAAAGCUGCUGGCCCAGACAACAUACCUGGGAGGGUGCUGAGGGUCUCUGCAGCUGUCCCCACCUGCCUGAAGACUGGCACCAUUGAGAUGACUUUGUUGUAAUUUGCUCUAUAUAAAUAAAGUUGAAAUUAAUUCCUGUCCCCA